GCGGGCGGCCCCGCGGUGCAUUGCUGUUGCGUUGCACGUGUGUGCGGGUGCAGUGCCUCUGCAGUGCAGCCCGGAGCCGGCCCCUGGCGCCGC
This 93-nucleotide microRNA precursor is filed under the name Dasypus novemcinctus (nine-banded armadillo). Its description in RNAcentral is "microRNA 33b (ENSDNOG00000027687.1)". The stretch from base 11 to 74 matches the Rfam family "mir-33 microRNA precursor family". The record is from RNAcentral. Lineage: Eukaryota; Metazoa; Chordata; Mammalia; Cingulata; Dasypodidae.